ACAGUGGACGCGAGCAUCUGUGGCCAAGUUUUUAAGGGCGCACGGUGGAUGCCUUGGCACCAGGAACCGAUGAAGGACGUGGGAGGCCACGAUAGUCCCCGGGGAGUCGUCAACCAGGCUUUGAUCCGGGGGUUUCCGAAUGGGGAAACCCGGCAGUCGUCAUGGGCUGUCAC
RNAcentral lists this ribosomal RNA (173 nucleotides) under Streptomyces sp. SID625. RNAcentral describes it as "partial 23S ribosomal RNA". The stretch from base 22 to 173 matches the Rfam family "Bacterial large subunit ribosomal RNA", at positions 1 to 151 of the family's 2925-position model. The record is from RNAcentral. Lineage: Bacteria; Bacillati; Actinomycetota; Actinomycetes; Kitasatosporales; Streptomycetaceae.